This is a non-coding RNA of Otolemur garnettii (small-eared galago), 319 nucleotides long. NCBI's taxonomy places the organism in Eukaryota, Metazoa, Chordata, Mammalia, Primates, Galagidae. The record is from Rfam.
GCCUGAUGCAGUGGCACGUACCUGUAGUCCCAGCUACUCAUGAGGCUGAGGCUGGAAGAUAGCUUGAGUCCAAGAGCACUGGACUUUAGUGUGCUUUGCCGAUGGGGUGUUUGUACUAAGUUCAGCAUCAAUAAGGUGACCUCCUGGAAGCGGGGGGGGGGGGAAAGGGGGGUGCAGAACCAGGUUGCCUACAGAGGGGUGAACCAGCCCGGGUUGGAAAUGGAGCAGGUCAAAGCUCCCUUGCUGUUCAGUAGUGGGAUCACACUUGUGAAUAGCCACUGCACUCCAGCCUGUGCAACAUAGCAAGACCCUGUCUCUA